UAUCUCUGCUCAAAUUGGUCAGAAUUGAAUGGGAAAACUGUUUUCAGGUGUUGAUGAUUAUAUUUUAUCAAAAAAUGUCACAUUUGACUACGCUGCGUUGGGUGUGAAAUUUAGCAUUUUUUACCUUAAGGGGGCAGUCUACAGUUUUUCUGGAAAAUUCCCAGGCCGACAAGCACUGGUCUGCAAAACACCCUCAAAACAAGGCCUUCAGUCACAACCUGAAAAUAUAAUCAGACCAUAUUCAUUGCGGCCCGUCAACAGCUUGAAAAUAAAGCUGUCAAAUGCCGGCAGUUUCAAGCAAAAAGUACAUGUGUUUACUUCUCACUCAGCAUGUUGUUGUUGUUGACUAAAAUUCAGGUCACUUAGUUUCGAAUUACUAAAAACAUGUGAAAUUACUAGAAUAUUGACCAUUUAUACUUACAUUUCAGCUCCUGGAGUCAAAAAACAAUUUCUUUUAGGCCAUACACCUUAAAUUCAGGAAAUUGACCGGGGCCAAUGCGCAGAUAAGGCUGAAAAACUGUAGACUGCCUCCUAACAUGUUUUCAUUGUACACUUUAAAUUAACGCAAGAGUGUACCAUCUACAAGAAAACAACACUGCGAUAAGAGCACACUGCCCCGAUUCGAACUUCAGCCAUUUUAGUAUCGAAGCAGCAGACGAACACCGUGGGAAAUUGGGUCAAUUUUACGCAUUUCUGUUCAUAGCGUAUUAUUUUGUCACGUGACUUUCAUUCAUAAAAUACCGGAUUAUUACGCUGGUGGAAAAUGUAUCGGCAUGUUUUGUUCAGCUACAGCGCGUGCUGUCAGUGUAUAAGCUCCGCCCAUAAGUUAUUGCAGAAUAACCCACGCUUGAUUUCCUUCUUUGUCUAUAGAAAACAAGUCACGUGCCGUGUUAGAAUUAACAAUAACAUUCUUUAUAGUAGAAUAAUAUAUUCAUUUAAACCAGGCGUACACGACCAGUACGAAAUUUCAAGUUAUUACAUGAGGCACGUGGUAUAUUUGACAAAAACAUUCUUUAUUGUAGAAUUAUAUAUUCAUUAAUACCAUGCAGGCGUACACGACCAGUACGAAAUUUCAAGUUAUUACACGAGGCAAAUGGUAUAUUUAACAAUAACAUUCUUUAUUGUAUAAUUAUUUAUUUAUAAAAAAACUCUGAUGUACAUCAUUGUUAGUUGGUUGCGCACUACAAGGGUCGUGUUUACAAAUGUGUAUAUCCUUCAGUUGGCCAACAUGCGGUAGGGGAUGUUAACUUCGAUAGUAAGUGAGGAUUUUCAUUGAUAAAGUGACAGGAGUGUUUUCAGUGUUCGGCCAUGCGUAGCGUGUACAGCAUUUUGAUACCCACACUAUGUUUGCAAUUAAGUGAAGGAUUAAAUACCUGUAACGUGUUUAACCAUGAUGCGCCGUGCAAAAGUAAGUACAUUUGUAUGAUUUACUCAUUAAUAGAGAGAGUUAGCAUAUGAUGUAUGGAUAUGACUUUUUGGGCUUUUUUCAUGAAUAUGUUAGGAUUCGUACAGACUCAAAAUAUGUAUUCAUAGAAUAAAAAAAGUAUAACUUAAAGGCUAUUUAUAGCCAUAGCGAGUAAUACGUUGUUUAUCUAUACAAUUUAUAUCAUUAAGCAGUAUUUUAUUAUUAGCACUUAAAAAAUUGUAUUAUGAAUUUCAUAAAUUGUGCCCAAUUUCGAAACAUACCAGGACUGUUCGCACACAUAAGAGUUAUAAAUUGGAUAACAUUUGAAUGUACCCAAUAUUUACGGGGGUUGUAUUUAGCUCUUUUUGCUUUAAAGAACGGGCAUAUUAGAAGAUCAUGCAACUCCACCGAUAUCAUUUUUGUUGCAGAGAAUACAUUUACAGUUUUCGUGAGGGAUAAACGGUUGAGCGAAACGACCGUUUUCUACUGGGAGUCGAUGAUUCCCGUUCGGAAGUGCAGCAUGCUAAGUCUUAAGGACUCAGUUAGAAAAUUUUAUAUCACAAGCCUGCUCUCCAAAAUGAGUCGAAUGCAGCAGAAAAAUCAACAAAUGAAUAUCCCGCACGAAAUCCUGCCUGGUUUUCGUUGAGAGCGAUUUCAUUUUCGUUUCUAGUUUCGAAGACUUGGACAUGUUCACAGUGAGUUUUAUAAGAGGAGCACGGUAUCUGGAGACAUCGGUCACAAAAUGCCACAUUUCCCGUGUGUCCCUAAACGAUGGAUGAUUGCUGGCAGAUAGUGCUUUGUCUUCGAUGCGAAUUGGGGUGACUUUGGAGACAUGCUGGACAUGGCUGGGUGAACCUUCAUGAAGUAACCCAGUUCUGAAUUUGUUACGCGCGUGGGCCUCUUCCCCUUGCUUGCAGGUGACGCGAUGCCCGGGUUAGUGUUUGCUGGUCGCUGGGCCUCCGGUAUGGUUUCAUGGUCUGAUCCAUCCGAUGUAUCAAUGUACUCUGGUUCCUGUAUGUGAUUGCCCGGCUCAAUGAAUGACUCUCUCAAUGCAUGGGGAAAUCCGGAUGAAGAUUGGUGGUGGCGCUGCUCUGUGCGCGCCUUGAUCACUGGCUCCUGUGUGAACUGAUGCGAGUCAACGCCUGCCUUUGCCGCUUGUGUGGGUAUGCACGCCGAUAAUUGCUGGAACCGCUGUUCCGUAACAUCGGUGUUUCUGGAACCACGGAGCAUGCUUUGCGAAUCUGAGAAAAUAUUUACUGUUGUCCCAUGGAUCACCAGCGCAGCAGGGAAAACCAGUUUGACGUUCUUAGCACCGUAUUUAUCUCGCGCCGCCUUGAACUCUGGCCAAAGUUGAUUGCGGACGUCGCUUAUUUCGCGGGGAAAGUCACGAGAGAUACCAAAAGAUUUUCGGCGUAACAGCUUUGCGUUUUACAUUUUGGCGUUCACGUCACGCAGGUCUGUGAAGGUAACAAGGAUGGCCCUUCAACGUGGGAGUCCUUGGGACCGGGCGACAUGGCGCCGGCCUUUCCGACGAUCCUCGGCAUUUCCUACACGUGCAGAGUCCAUAUUUAGUUUGUUGUUAAUGAAAUCAAUGAUGAUUUGGAGAGGGUCUUCGUUUCCACCGCUUUCAGACUCGGGAUGGCCGCUGAAAAUCAAGUUAGUUCGUAGAGAACGGGCUUCCAUGUCAAUGCUUUUAUACUCUAAAAGCUUAAGACGGGCCUCCGUAAUGUUGUGAAAUGGUUGUGAGCGGACAAACUUUUGGUUCAGACAUUCAAAUUUAUGAUUUAAUGAGUUAUUUGAAUAGAUCAUAUAAAACAGAAAUGUCAGUUUGUGCUUUAUGUUGAUUUCAGAGGCUUGUUCGCGUGUUGAUUUUACUGUUCCGUGUACGCUAAAGUCACCUUGGGAUGGGUGGGCUGAGCCCUUCGUAGACGAACUGCUAGUUGCACGACGUUUUCGUUUUGUUUCUCUAACUUGCAAAAUAGUUAAUAGAGCAUAUUUACCUAUGGACUGGCUUGCCAUGGCGUUCUUUGUACCUCUUGUGUUUUAAUAAAGUUUGAAGAUGUUA
Long non-coding RNA from Dreissena polymorpha, 3470 nucleotides. RefSeq lists it as uncharacterized. The record is from RefSeq and is a predicted model, not a curated record. The transcript has 3 exons. NCBI's taxonomy places the organism in Eukaryota, Metazoa, Mollusca, Bivalvia, Myida, Dreissenidae.